This 279-nucleotide ribosomal RNA is filed under the name uncultured bacterium. RNAcentral's name for it is "partial 16S ribosomal RNA". It matches the Rfam family "Bacterial small subunit ribosomal RNA", at positions 76 to 353 of the family's 1533-position model. The record is from RNAcentral.
CUUGCUAAGUUUGAUGGCGACCGGCGCACGGGUGAGUAACACGUAUCCAACCUGCCCUUUACUCGGGGAUAGCCUUUCGAAAGAAAGAUUAAUACCCGAUAGCAUAAUGAUUCCGCAUGGUUUCAUUAUUAAAGGAUUCCGGUAAAGGAUGGGGAUGCGUUCCAUUAGGUUGUUGGUGGGGUAACGGCCCACCAAGCCUUCGAUGGAUAGGGGUUCUGAGAGGAAGGUCCCCCACAUUGGAACUGAGACACGGUCCAAACUCCUACGGGAGGCAGCAUG